UCCUUUUGACUAACAUUUGGAAAGGUGAUU
This 30-nucleotide non-coding RNA is filed under the name Rattus norvegicus (Norway rat). Lineage: Eukaryota; Metazoa; Chordata; Mammalia; Rodentia; Muridae. The record is from RNAcentral.